UCGCGAAAACUUCACAAUGGGGGAAACCCCGAUGAGGGAAUUCCAAGUGUUAGCACAUUGUGUUAACUGUUCCCCUGUCUAAAAAACAGGAGAAGUAAGGGCCGGGUAAGACGGGUGCCAGCCGCCGCGGUAAUACCCGCGGCCCGAGUGGUGGUCGAUAUUAUUGAGCCUAAAACGUUCGUAGCCGGUUUUGUAAAUCCUUGGGUAAAUCGACCAGCUUAACUGUUCGAAGUCCGGGGAGACUGCAAAACUUGGGAUCGGGAGAGGUCAGAGGUACUUCUGGGGUAGGGGUAAAAUCCUGUAAUCCUAGAAGGACCACCGGUGGCGAAGGCGUCUGACUAGAACGAAUUCGACGGUGAGGAACGAAGCCCUGGGGCGCAAACGGGAUUAGAUACCCCGGUAGUCCAGGGUGUAAACGCUGCGGGCUUGGUGUUGGGGGUCCUUAGUGGGCGCCCAGUGCCGGAGAGAAGUUGUUAAGCCUGCUGCUUGGGGAGUACGUCCGCAAGGAUGAAACUUAAAGGAAUUGGCGGGGGAGCACCGCAACGGGAGGAGCGUGCGGUUCAAUUGGAUUCAACGCCGGACAACUCAACCG
Molecule: ribosomal RNA, 592 nt
Filed under: uncultured Thermoplasmatales archaeon
Lineage: Archaea; Methanobacteriati; Thermoplasmatota; Thermoplasmata; Thermoplasmatales
Description: bacterial SSU rRNA
Rfam family: Archaeal small subunit ribosomal RNA
Source: RNAcentral